UACUGUUCUCGAGACUCUCUCCGCCUUCCGCCUUCCGCUCCUUCCUGCUCGCCCCGCCCCUUUGUUUUGUUCUCAUCUGGAACGUGAACAGGCCGCUUGCGUUUGAACAGGUAGCUAGGAGACGACUGAAAACUAAGAAAAGAUUAUGUUUACAAUCCAACCGGAUUUGGUUGGCGAAUCGCAUCCAACUUUUAGGGGCGCACGGCGCCACCUACUGUACUGGUGUGUGAGGCCAUUCGGCCUACGUACGUUAAUUGAUAUGGUCUGCGUCGCACCAAACGGCGGCGGUUAUAAACACUGGGAAACUUCAACUGAUCCUCCUCGACACUUAAUGCCAGCCCAUGUAUCACUCCUUUCAAAGAUACCCUGCUCCAUAGAGCAAAGCAAAUCACAUGUCCCUAAUGGCGUGAUCUGUAGCGCCCGCUCCCCCUGGACUGAAGAAACACAGUAAAUCAUCACUUAUCCUAGUUACUCUCAGCACCUCUUCUCCACCCAACCUGACAGCACAUAUGGAUCUGCCCCCCCCCCAAAAAAUGCAAGGAUCCAUUUUUCUCCACAAAUCUCACUCCCACUGGGCCAGAAUCAUCCCUUUUCAUCCUCUUAACGAGGCCCGAACUCGGCUGUCCUCGCCACAGGAUAGCUUGUCGUAGCUGUUGGAUCCUUCCAAAUGAAAACAAGUAUAUGGGUCGCUGCAGCCCAAUAUGGCGACCAGAGUAUGGGACAGUGG
This is a long non-coding RNA of Oncorhynchus tshawytscha (Chinook salmon), 727 nucleotides long. Lineage: Eukaryota; Metazoa; Chordata; Actinopteri; Salmoniformes; Salmonidae. The record is from Ensembl.